RNAcentral lists this ribosomal RNA (305 nucleotides) under uncultured bacterium. Its description in RNAcentral is "partial 16S ribosomal RNA". It matches the Rfam family "Bacterial small subunit ribosomal RNA", at positions 508 to 807 of the family's 1533-position model. The record is from RNAcentral.
ACAGCAGCCGCCGCGGUAAUACGGAGGGUGCAAGCGUUAAUCGGAAUUACUGGGCGUAAAGCGCACGCAGGCGGUCUGUCAAGUCGGAUGUGAAAUCCCCGGGCUCAACCUGGGAACUGCAUUCGAUACUGGGAAGCUAGAGUAUGGGAGAGGAUGGUAGAAUUCCAGGUGUAGCGGUGAAAUGCGUAGAGAUCUGGAGGAAUACCGAUGGCGAAGGCAGCCAUCUGGCCUAAUACUGACGCUGAGGUACGAAAGCAUGGGGAGCAAACAGGAUUAGAUACCCCGGUAGUCCCUGUCUCUUAUAC